This is a long non-coding RNA of Hypanus sabinus (Atlantic stingray), 1862 nucleotides long. RefSeq lists it as uncharacterized. NCBI's taxonomy places the organism in Eukaryota, Metazoa, Chordata, Chondrichthyes, Myliobatiformes, Dasyatidae. The record is from RefSeq and is a predicted model, not a curated record. The transcript is spliced from 3 exons.
GCAGCAAACACUGACGACAGUGCAAAGAUAAUCCACAGGCAUGGGAAGAUUAAAAGAAACAGAAGGAGGGGAGGAAUGGAACCCACUCUCGAGGUUUCAUGACUGGCCAUUGUUCGGCAGGCCAAGGACCCGGCCUAAGAGUUCAGCUCGCUUUUGGAGGCCUAGGAUCUUGGGGCUCCGGAGGCAGGCAGAUUGAAGGUUCCUCACUGAACAAAGCAACACAGAGAAUCAGGACCUGCUCCACCAUUCAACAUGAUCACAGCUGAGCGUCCCUUCACCGCCACAUCCCCGACGUUCUUCCCGGUUCCCUUGUUUACUACCUUCUUCUCACGGAGGGUGGUGUGAGUGUGGAUCGAGCUGCCAGCAGAAGUGGUGGAUCAGGGUUUGCUUGUAACAUUCAAGAGAGGCUUAUUAGUUAUUAUUUGCAUUUGCACAGAUGCUUGUCUUUUGCAAACUGGUUGCUGACCUGUCCUGUUGCCUUCUUUUAUUGAUUCUCUUGAGCUUCUUGGUUUUACCGUGUAUGCCCACGUGAAAGCGAAUCUCAGGGUUGUACUGUACGUGCUGACAGAUAUGUACUUUGAUAAUAAAUUAACUUUGAGCAUUGAAGUAGACCAAAAUCUCAUCCUUAAUAAUGAACUCCAAACUCCAACAUGACAUGGAACAUAGAACAGUGGAGCUGAAUCUCUGUAAACCUCUGAGAAAGUAGGGCCGCUGUUGCGUUGUGCUGUGUCUGCUUUGUGAUAGCACUUGCAUGCUGGACUCAGAACAGGUUCCCUGAUCUGGUGGUGCUAAGGAAUUUAAAGUUACUGACCCUCUCCACGUCUGAUUCUCUAAUGACGACUGGCUCAUGGGUCUUCACCUUCUCUCUCCUGUAGUCAAAAUUCAGCUCUUUGGUUUGGCUGAUGUUCUGUACAGGGUUGUUGCUGUGGCACCAUUCAACCAGACUUUCAAUUUCCCUUCUAUACACUGAUUCAUCACCACCUUUGAUAGGGCCAACGACAGCGGUGUCAUCAGCCAACUUAAAUGUACUUGGCCACACAGUCAUAGAUUGUAUGUAUAGCCAAGGGCUAAUCACCCAGCCUCUAGUGCACCUGUGCUGAUGGAGGCGAUGUUGUUGCCAAUCCGAACUGACUGGGGCCUACAAAUGAGAGGUCUCGGUGUUUAGCAAUGAGUUUUGAGGGGUGUUAGUGUUGAAUGCAGAACUGCAGUCAAUGAAGAACAUGCUGAUGUAUGCAUCUUCACGUCCAGAUGUUCCAGAACUGAGUGAAGAGCCUAUGAAAUGGCAUUUGCUGUGGACAUUUUAUGUGUUGUUCAAUAUUCUGCAUUCUGGACACCUGCUCCCUUGAUUUGUUUCUGAGGGAAGAACUGACGGGAUGGCAUGGAAACAGAAACCUUUCACGGUGUCUUGAUACGGUGAUGAUAUAAUCAGAUGUCCAUGAGGAGAGGUCAGAGGUCAUCUGAAGUAAGAAUAGAGGUCCUGACCUCCAUUGCUGUGAACUCGUUUCAGCAAAAUCCUGCUAUGCUGAGAAUAUGUCCUUAACUUGUUCAAAGGGGGGGCAUUAUGGGAUGGCACAGUAGUGGAGAGGUUAGCACAUUGGCUUUACAGUGCCAGUGAUUGGUGAUCGAUGAACAAUUCUUGCCACCGCCUGUGAGGAUUACGCAUAUUCUCCUCAUGAUAUUUUGUGUUUCCUCCGGCUGCCCUGGUUUCCUCCCAGGGUUAGGUGAGUUGUGUGCGUGCUGGGUUGGUCCAGAAGCUUAACAACACUUGCAGAAUGCCACCAGCCCAAUUCUCGCUGAUUUGGUUUGACGUAAACAAGGCAUUUCAUUGUAAGUUUCAAUGUACAUAUGACAAAUAAAAUGAA